Molecule: ribosomal RNA, 490 nt
Filed under: uncultured bacterium
Lineage: Bacteria
Description: partial 16S ribosomal RNA
Rfam family: Bacterial small subunit ribosomal RNA
Source: RNAcentral
ACUCAAAUGAAUUGACGGGGACCCGCACAACCGGUGGAGCGUGUGGUUCAAUUUGAGACGAAGCAAAAAACCUCACCAGGGCUUGACAUGAUACCGUUUAUGCUUUUGGAAACUUUAGCAAAUCCGCAAGGAUGGUACCACAGGUGCUGCAUGGCUGUCGUCAGCUCGUGCCGUGAGGUGUUCCAUUAAGUUGGGAAACGAGCGCAACCCGCAUCCAAUGUUACAUAUUCAUUGGAAACUGUCUCAGUUUUUCUGAGGAGGAAGGAGCGGAAGACGUCAAGUCAGCAUGGUCCUUAUGCCCUGGGCUACACACACCCUACAAUGGCGAACAACAACGAGUCGCAAGCUAGUAAUAGCAAGCUAAUCUCUAAAAUUUCGCCUCAGUUCAGAUUGAGGGCUGCAACUCGCCCUCAUGAAGUCGGAAUCGGUAGUAAUCGCAAAUCAGCAGGUUGCGGUGAAUACGUUCUCGGGUCUUGUACACACCGCCCGU